UAAGCUUAAGAGAAAGAGAAAGAAAAAGCAUAGCCAUGGCUGCCAUACUCUCGGCCAGCCAUGGUCUCUAAAAAAAAAAAUUGUUCUUGUUUAGAUUAAUUCUAAGGUAAUUUGCAAGUCCAAGGAGGUGAUAGCAACAUUGGGUAUUGAAUUGAGGAACAGAAAUAGUGCAAUUGGUGCAAGUGGGUGUAGAAUUUGCUCCGAUUAAAUUAAGGCUAAAGGGGCGACGAAGCAAACUUGGUUACGGUUAACCUAUAACAGGUACAGAUAGUCGGUUUGGUGACCCUUCAACAUAGGACUUCUACUCAGCUGUCUUGGAGAGCUCCAUUGUUCCGGAGCCUAGACUUUUGGUACAGAUCUUAUGAUGUAUAUAUAUAUAUAUAUAU
Long non-coding RNA from Lycium barbarum (goji berry), 386 nucleotides. RefSeq lists it as uncharacterized. The transcript is spliced from 3 exons. NCBI's taxonomy places the organism in Eukaryota, Viridiplantae, Streptophyta, Magnoliopsida, Solanales, Solanaceae. The record is from RefSeq and is a predicted model, not a curated record.